RNAcentral lists this ribosomal RNA (137 nucleotides) under uncultured bacterium. Its description in RNAcentral is "partial 16S ribosomal RNA". It matches the Rfam family "Bacterial small subunit ribosomal RNA", at positions 355 to 509 of the family's 1533-position model. The record is from RNAcentral.
UGGGGAAUAUUGCACAAUGGGGGAAACCCUGAUGCAGCAACGCCGCGUGAGUGAAGAAGUAUUUCGGUAUGUAAAGCUCUAUCAGCAGGGAAGAUAAUGACGGUACCUGACUAAGAAGCUCCGGCUAAAUACGUGCC